This is a long non-coding RNA of Heterocephalus glaber (naked mole-rat), 419 nucleotides long. The record is from Ensembl. NCBI's taxonomy places the organism in Eukaryota, Metazoa, Chordata, Mammalia, Rodentia, Bathyergidae.
CUCAGACCUGGCAGCCUGAGAGAAGGAAGACCAUAUUUUCUUAUUUGGUUGAAGAGUAUUGGCAUUAAUCUAUGCCAAGAGUAAACAGAGUAUGGUUUGCAGAUGUUUUGAUAUGGCCUGUCUGAUCACUUGUAUAAUCAAGAAAAAAGGACUACCUUCUAUAACAAAAAAUAUUGAAAAAAAUUCCUGGAUGUACAUGACAGAUGAUGCCCUGAUACUGUGUACCAUAUUUCAGAGCCGAGGAAGCUGUAGAAAAAUAUCUGAAGCUAGCAGAGGUUGGUUCAUGAUGUUUAAGGAAAGAAGCCAUGACGGAUGAAAAAUAGAGAAAGCUAGAGAAAAAGAGAGGGAGAAGUGAAAUCUUAACACAAGUGGCAAGACUGGUAAGAUUUUUUGAAACUAAUCUGUGGGCUUGAUCUCAA